Molecule: small RNA, 36 nt
Filed under: Arabidopsis thaliana (thale cress)
Lineage: Eukaryota; Viridiplantae; Streptophyta; Magnoliopsida; Brassicales; Brassicaceae
Description: ATSL232030
Source: RNAcentral
UUUUUUUUUCCUCCUUUAUAUAAAUCUUCUUUUUAU